RNAcentral lists this ribosomal RNA (499 nucleotides) under uncultured microorganism. RNAcentral's name for it is "bacterial SSU rRNA". It matches the Rfam family "Bacterial small subunit ribosomal RNA", at positions 9 to 490 of the family's 1533-position model. The record is from RNAcentral.
GAGUUUGAUCUUGGCUCAGGACGAACGCUGGCGGCGUGCCUAAUACAUGCAAGUCGAGCGAACGGACGAGAAGCUUGCUUCUCUGAUGUUAGCGGCGGACGGGUGAGUAACACGUGGAUAACCUACCUAUAAGACUGGGAUAACUUCGGGAAACCGGAGCUAAUACCGGAUAAUAUUUUGAACCGCAUGGUUCAAAAGUGAAAGACGGUCUUGCUGUCACUUAUAGAUGGAUCCGCGCUGCAUUAGCUAGUUGGUAAGGUAACGGCUUACCAAGGCAACGAUGCAUAGCCGACCUGAGAGGGUGAUCGGCCACACUGGAACUGAGACACGGUCCAGACUCCUACGGGAGGCAGCAGUAGGGAAUCUUCCGCAAUGGGCGAAAGCCUGACGGAGCAACGCCGCGUGAGUGAUGAAGGUCUUCGGAUCGUAAAACUCUGUUAUUAGGGAAGAACAUAUGUGUAAGUAACUGUGCACAUCUUGACGGUACCUAAUCAGAAAG